UACAGAGGGUGCAAGCGUUAAUCGGAAUUACUGGGCGUAAAGCGCGUGUAGGCGGCCCUGUAAGUCGGGUGUGAAAUCCCACGGCUCAACCGUGGAAGUGCAUUCGAAACUACAGGGCUAGAGUUCUGGAGAGGAAGGUGGAAUGCUUGGUGUAGAGGUGAAAUUCGUAGAUAUCAAGCGGAACACCGGUGGCGAAGGCGGCCUUCUGGACAGUAACUGACGCUGAGACGCGAAAGCGUGGGGAGCAAACAGG
Molecule: ribosomal RNA, 253 nt
Filed under: uncultured bacterium
Lineage: Bacteria
Description: partial 16S ribosomal RNA
Rfam family: Bacterial small subunit ribosomal RNA
Source: RNAcentral